CUUCGGUAAAGAGCGGCGGACGGGUGAGUAACGCGUGGGUAACCUGCCCUGUACACACGGAUAACAUACCGAAAGGUAUGCUAAUACGGGAUAAUAUAAGAGAGUCGCAUGGCUUUCUUAUCAAAGCUUUUGUGGUACAGGAUGGACCCGCGUCUGAUUAGCUAGUUGGUAAGGUAACGGCUUACCAAGGCGACGAUCAGUAGCCGACCUGAGAGGGUGAUCGGCCACAUUGGAACUGAGACACGGUCCAAACUCCUACGGGAGGCAGCAGUGGGGAAUAUUGCACAAUGGGCGAAAGCCUGAUGCAGCAGCGCCGCGUGAGCGAUGAAGGCCUUCGGGUCGUAAAGCUCUGUUCUCAAGGAAGAUAAUGACGGUACUUGAGGAGGAAGCCCCGGCUAACUACGUGCCAGCAGCCGCGGUAAUACGUAGGGGGCUAGCGUUAUCCGGAAUUACUGGGCGUAAAGGGUGCGUAGGCGGUCUUUCAAGUCAGAAGUGAAAGGCUACGGCUCAACCGUAGUAAGCUUUUGAAACUGUAAGACUUGAGUGCAGGAGAGGAGAGUGGAAUUCCUAGUGUAGCGGUGAAAUGCGUAGAUAUUAGGAGGAACACCAGUUGCGAAGGCGGCUCUCUGGACUGUAACUGACGCUGAGGCACGAAAGCGUGGGGAGCAAACAGGAUUAGAUACCCUGGUAGUCCACGCCGUAAACGAUGAGUACUAGCUGUCGGAGGUUACCCCCUUCGGUGGCGCAGCUAACGCAUUAAGUACUCCGCUUGGGGAGUACGCUCGCAAGAGUGAAACUCAAAGGAAUUGACGGGGACCCGCACAAGUAGCGGAGCAUGUGGUUUAAUUCGAAGCAACGCGAAGAACCUUACCUAAGCUUGACAUCCUUUUGACCUCUCCCUAAUCGGAGAUUUCCCUUCGGGGACAAAAGUGACAGGUGGUGCAUGGUUGUCGUCAGCUCGUGUCGUGAGAUGUUGGGUUAAGUCCCGCAACGAGCGCAACCCUUGCCUUUAGUUGCCAGCAUUAAGUUGGGCACUCUAGAGGGACUGCCAGGGAUAACCUGGAGGAAGGUGGGGAUGACGUCAAAUCAUCAUGCCCCUUAUGCUUAGGGCUACACACGUGCUACAAUGGGUGGUACAGAGGGCAGCCAAGUCGUGAGGCGGAGCUAAUCCCUUAAAGCCAUUCUCAGUUCGGAUUGUAGGCUGAAACUCGCCUACAUGAAGCUGGAGUUACUAGUAAUCGCAGAUCAGAAUGCUGCGGUGAAUGCGUUCCCGGGUCUUGUACACACCGCCCGUCACACCACGGAAGUUGGGGGCGCCCGAAGCCACUUAGCUAACCCUUUCGGGAAGCGAGUGUCGAAGGUGAAAUCAAUAACUGGGGUGAAGUCGUAACA
RNAcentral lists this ribosomal RNA (1392 nucleotides) under uncultured bacterium. Its description in RNAcentral is "bacterial SSU rRNA". It matches the Rfam family "Bacterial small subunit ribosomal RNA". The record is from RNAcentral.